CCUACGGGCGGCAGCAGUGAGGAAUAUUGGUCAAUGGACGCAAGUCUGAACCAGCCAAGCCGCGUGAAGGACGAAGGUGCCAAGCAUUGUAAACUUCUUUUGUCAGGGGACAAAAUCAGACUCGAGAACCUGACCGAGGGUACUUGACGAAAAAGCAUCGGCUAACUCCGUGCCAGCAGCCGCGGUAAUACGGAGGAUUCAAGCGUUAUCCGGGUUUAUUGGGUUUAAAGGGUGCGUAGGCGGUCCGUUAAGUUAGCGGGUAAAUCCCGGGGCUCAACCCCCGCGGGGCCUUUGAUACUGGCUGGCUUGAGAUGUGGAGAGGUAGGCGGAAUGCGUGGUGUAGCGGUGAAAUGCUUAGAGAU
This 362-nucleotide ribosomal RNA is filed under the name uncultured bacterium. RNAcentral's name for it is "partial 16S ribosomal RNA". It matches the Rfam family "Bacterial small subunit ribosomal RNA", at positions 338 to 697 of the family's 1533-position model. The record is from RNAcentral.